AAACAACUGUUUCCAUUGAUAUGGAGUAUGAGAUCAGAGUUACUUUGGAGGGUGGAGGGGGACAGCUCCAUGGCUUCACCUCAAAAUCUGCUGAUGUCAGAGGUGGGGCUGCCUUAUUCUUCCCAAGGUGCUCCUAUCACCAUCAAGGGAGGGUUCUAUGAUUGUAUCUUCAAACGAUUUGCCAAGAGCUAAAUGCAGCUCAGAAAUGCCCAUUCUAUGGUGAAUAGGACAGCAUUCUGCAACCAGGAGUCAUUUGGAAUCAACAUUUACUCAGUGAUUAUCUGUUCAGACACAAAGAAUUUUCCACAGCUAUUAUGUAUCACAUAGCAAAUAUGUGAAGCCUCCGAGUAAAUCUGUAUUGUACUUUGCUUUUAAGAACUGGUGAACUAGGGCAGUAAGUCUUGUUCUUCAUCAGAGACUGCAAAGAAAUAUGAAAAGUCUUUCCAAAGAAAGAUGAACUUGAAGUCAAGAUAUGUGCAUUUUCAAAUCCCAGUUCCAAUACCUACUAUCUUCAUGAUCCAGGAGGACUUAACUUUAGCUUCAGUUUCCUUAUAGAACUGAAUUUGAUAAACCUUUAUUUGUCAUCUACGAUAUGACAAGUGCUGGAGGAGAUACAACAUUUAAAUAAAAUACCAUUCUUGCCCUGA
This is a long non-coding RNA of Monodelphis domestica (gray short-tailed opossum), 647 nucleotides long. RefSeq lists it as uncharacterized. Lineage: Eukaryota; Metazoa; Chordata; Mammalia; Didelphimorphia; Didelphidae. The record is from RefSeq and is a predicted model, not a curated record.